This is a non-coding RNA of Chrysemys picta bellii (western painted turtle), 244 nucleotides long. The record is from RefSeq and is a predicted model, not a curated record. Lineage: Eukaryota; Metazoa; Chordata; Testudines; Emydidae.
CUGCUGGCUCAGCCUGGAGAGCGGCUUUCAUUGGAGCUUCCUGGGUCCAGUCUGUGCCAUAAUCCUGAUAAAUAUAACGUUCUUUGCCCUGACCCUGUGGAUCCUGAGAAACAGUCUCUCCUCCCUCAAUGCAGAUGUGUCCACCCUCAGAGACCACAGGUUACUGACCUUUAAAGCCAUCGCCCAGCUCUUCAUUCUGGGCUGCACAUGGAGCCUUGAUCUCCUCCUAAUCGGCCCAGCACCC